Molecule: RNA transcript, 2087 nt
Organism: Triticum aestivum (bread wheat)
Lineage: Eukaryota; Viridiplantae; Streptophyta; Magnoliopsida; Poales; Poaceae
Gene name: cell division protein FtsY homolog, chloroplastic
Exons: 10
Source: RefSeq, a predicted model, not a curated record
UGCUACGGUGUCCAGGCGGCCGGAAGGAGAUGGUCGGUGGUUGGAGGGGCUGUAGGCGCGCUGGUCUUACACGGUGAGGGCGGAGCACCCAGCCCGUAGGCUCAUCCCCUUCUCCGAUCCACUCUGGCGGCGGCCAUCGUUGGAAAGAGAUGCAGACGAGAGGAAGAGAGCCUCCCCCAAGCUCUGUCUAGGCGAUGCACGGGCGACGGCCACCCUUCCUGUUAUUGCCUCCAUGGCUGGCUGCUCAUCCCCAGGAACCUCCUCCCCUCUCACGUGCGCCACACUCUGGGAUUAAGUUGGAACACAGGUAUCUAGGGCAGGGCGUGGUCACAUUGCAGGCAGCGAGGAGCAGCGCAAAGUUGUCUUGGCUGUGCCCUGCAUCGAGGAGGAACACAGGUUGAACAAAUCCGACAUCUGUAAAUCAUCGAUGUUUUUCUGGAAGUAGUACAGUAGGUUUAAGAUUGGGCGAUGAUUCGUUCAUUCGACUGCCAGAAAUACUACAUGGUAGUCUUGAAGUAAAUACCAAUUAUGUGAUCCGAUAUGUUGUUUCAGAACAAUAGACCAUCAAUAUUAUUUUCGCCUCGGGUUCUAGAGGAGGACAGCUAAUUAAGAGAAAACUUCGGUGGGAUAGAGACAGAAGUUUGCUAUAUUUCACAAUACCCAAACAGAAUUUCAUUGCUGAUUCUUCUCCCCUGAACUUUGCUCAUGCCAAUUACAUUUUGUAGACCCUUUUUAAGGAAACUGCUUCGUUUACACCAUCCCAUUGGCAUGUCUAUUAGCAGUAAUGAAACUCAAACGAACACUUCUAGGCUAGAUAUUAUUGAGGUGUUGUGUACGUUGGUCCUUUUUAUAGAUCUUGCCAUCUUUGUUUGCCAGGUGAUCAGUCAUUUAAAGUAUUUGAGAAACUUGAAGGGAAGCACAUGGCAAAGCCAUAAUUACCUUUUAGUUAUAUUUCAAGUUGUAGGAAAGUUGGAAUCAAUCUGGAAAGCAUCUUUCUAUUGCAGAUAUUUUAUUAGUGGCUUGAAGACUUACACUCUGUUUGAUGUUACAGAAAUAGUGAGGUUAUGCCACAAUGCUGAUAGACUUGGUACUUGUAGGAUGGAGAGGAGAAAACUGAAAAGGAUGUUGAUAUGAGGAAUCCAAGGAAGUGGAAGAGGAAGAAAGUUCUGAUGAUGGUGAUAAUUAGAAUAUCAAGUUUGACGACGAUGAUGAUUGGAACCAAGAGGAGGAAGUACGUAAGUUUCCAUCUAUUCAUAUGGAUGUUAUCCUCGAUGUACUGUGACCAAAUAUCUGCCGCUAAAACCCACCAAAGAAUUAGCAAGAAAAUUGAUGGUGGGAGCUAGCAAUGCCGGCAGUGCCUCCUUUAGGAUUACAAAAUCGUUAAUCCUAUCUUCGCUUGCAUGUGACUGAUGGUGAUGCUACACAAGUUCUGAAGGCAGUGCCCUCCCCUUCAGCAGGAGAUCUUGCUGGUUCUGCAUGGCACAACUGGAUUAAAUAUGCUACAGCAAGCGAAGGAGUUCAACGAUGUUGUUGGAAUCAAAGGAUUCAUCCUAACGAAAUUAGACAGGACUGCUCGUGUUGGCUGUGUGGUGAGUGUUAAUAGACGAACUUGGAGUUCCAGCCAAGUUUGUUGGCGUCGGCGAAGGGGUGAAGAUCUCCAACCUUUUGAUGCAGAAGCAUUUGUUGAAGCCAUUUUCCCAUAAAUUUGACCCAGUUAUUAGCGUUUCUCAUGUAACAAGAUUUUGGCUAACAUGCUACUCCCUCCGUUUCUAAAUAUAUGUCUUUUUAGGAAUUCUAAUAUGGACUACAUACGAAGAAAAAUGAGUGAAUCUACACUCUAGAAUAUGUCUACAUUCAUCCGUAUGUAGUCCAUAUUCAAAUCACUAAAAAGACCUAUAUUUAGGAAUGGAGGGAGUAGAACUUGGUAGAAGCAAUUAUUUCAACAAUUACAGUUUUUUUGGUUCAGUCGUCGACUCAUCUGCCUGACUUGUUUCUGUCGUUGAUCCUAACUAUUCAUACAGAAACAGAAGCAAGUAUUUGUGAUAUUAUAUGUUUCUUGUGAUUAAGCUCAAGGCACGUUGCAGAUA